AAAAAAAAAAAAAAGAAUCUCAUGCAUGAAAUUUCAGAGCAUUAUAUGUGCUUACGCACGGCAAUUGUACAACUUGCUUUCGUUAAAUAUCAAUGUUUGAGAAGAAAGGGAUAUAAACGACAAUAGGAAUGGAAAAUAUGGCAAACUGUAACAACCGCAAGCUUCAAUCGAGCUUUCCAAAAAGACAGAGAAAUCAGUUUUACAACAGUUGAAAAAGUUUCUGAACAAAAGGAAAACCAUUUUCAGUUUGUUUUCUUGAUGAAUAGUGUAAAUUUAAGUUUCCCAAAUAUGAAGAGAGAAAAUUUAUUUUUUCUAAAGAAGCGCUGGAACUUGAAAGCUUAAACAUUAGUGUAAGCAUUGAGUAAGAACAAGUAUUUGCCGCUUAGGUAAUUAGAACCUCCAAAAGUUCAGUAUCCACGCUUCGUUUAGAUAUAAUUCUUUUUAAGAAAGUGUUGGCUAGAAUGAUUUAGUUGAGACCAAUUAAAGGAGAGUUCUUUUAGGCACUUCUUUGAAGAAAUUCUUAUUCUAGAACAGAUCGAAAUAGAUUUCAUGUAGAUUUUAUUGAAGAAGAAAUUGUGUCGUGAGUUCUGAUCAAGAUUCACUUGGUUAUACAAGGAUGCUAAAAAGUAGUGCAACUAAUUAGAAGAAAGGCAUGUUGUGAAGGGAAGCUUUUCCAAACGUCGAUUGUGCGCGUUAAAAUGGUGGUGUUAUAAGUAUUUCGUUAGCUCUUCUGCGUUCAGUAAAUCAGAGAUACACAUCAUUACUAUGUGAUUAGAGCACAAUAGCUCCAGAUAUCAUGUCAGGUAUUGUGGAUGACAUAAUUCUAGAUGGCUCGUCAAGUUACUUGAACCAAAGAAUUGGCCUGCAUCCUAGCAGUUCUGCAAUUUAUGCGAUGUAGCUAUCAGCACAAGUUACAAGCAAUAAGAAAACUUCAUCUCCACCUUCUGGAGAGAGUUAUGGAAGCUUAGUUGUAUCACCUAUGGCAGCAAAAAUGCUCAGAUGACAUAAAUGACAUUGUAUGAACCAGCAAAUCAGAUAUAUAGACAGACACCUCGUUAGCACACGAACAAUGACGAAUACCUUAUUGAAGAACAUAAACCCAUUUCCAGGCUAUAUAUAGGUAGAAACGCCUCUAGGAUACUUAUACUCCAACCCUUUGUGGGAUUCUUACUGGAUUAUUUCCUGUUAUCAAAACGAUACAAUUGAGAGGGGAUGGUUCAUGGGUAAGCAUUUAACAGAUAGGUAUGAAUAGUCUUUUCGAAACCCUGCACUUUUGUUAAUAAAAUCUUUCCUUUACAAAGAGGAAUAUGCUCUUGCACAACCCCUAGACCUCCUUUUCGUGCUGAUAAUGUGAGUAAAGUUCUCUUGAUAUAAAGGAAAUGAAAUUAGAAACAGAAACCAUUGCUAAAAUAACCAGCCUUAGACAUUAUAACAGAGCAAGUAUAAGUAUUUCUUAUUCAAUGGAAUAUCUUUAUCAUGUUGUCACACUUGUGCAAAUGAAAAGUAUCAUGAAGCACAAAAUUUUAGCAUCCAAAUAUAGGACCAACCACAGCUAACCACAAUUGUUGCUUCAGUAAUCUUUUGUUCCAAAAUUCUUGCACCAGAGUUGAGAAGGAAUGGCCCGGACUGGAUGAUGUGGCCUUUGCUGCAAAAUAGAAACCUCGUUAUCACAUGAAUGGAGAUCAAAUAUUUUGCAAAGUGCACACACGAACUCAUACUUUAAUAGGUGGUAUGGUUGGUUGCAUAGGAAAAAAUAAUCCUAACAUAAAAUUCUGCGCAACUAAUACAACUUUUCAUUGCAAUAUAAUACUCCGCAUUAUUAAUUUAGUCUAUACAUAACUAAUACUACAAAGUUUAGCCUCCGAUAAAGAAAAAUGUUAUCUGCAUAACUAAUGCAGCAUUUGGUUACAAAUACCGACAUAACUCAUUCCUUUUCAAAAAAAAAAAGUACCAACAUGACUCAUGUAAAUCUAUAUAUUAUUUUAUAAGAAGAAAAACAUACAGUAAGAAUAUGUGCUAGAAUAAGAGUAUCCAAAGACAAAUAUUUUUUUAAUGCAGACAAUCACUACAUAAUAAUCUCGUGUUAUCAUUUGUCGUAUAGUAAUCUUUAUAUUAAGAUUUACUGCACAAAAAUCCCAACAUUAUUUGUUAUCGCAUAACAAUCUUCUGUUAUAAUCCCUGCAUAAGAAGUACAUGAAUCAAACGGCCUUAACAGUAUCAAAUCAAUAUGAAAAAAAGGAGCAAUUGAGCAACAAAGAAGAACACUGAUCAUUCUAAAAGAAUUAUAUUAAGUUGAUCAAAGGCUAGAACAACCAUUUACCUAAACAAAUAAAAAGACUCAACAAGACAUCAUCUUUGAACUGAACCUUCAAAUUGAACAAACAAACAUAAAUAACCAUUUUUUUCACGUUGACCGAGCUUGUUUUUGCUCCAGCCAGACGUCAUAUACUUUUAAAAUUUUCAAUCUAUUUACAUGUACACUUAAUAAAAAUUUUGUUUAAAAAUUGAUCAUUUUACAGCAAUUACUAAUUGAUUCAAUCCAAUACUUCUAAAAAUAUGAAUGACAAAUCAUCUAGGCUGAACUUUUUUGCAAGAAACUCUGCCAGGAGUUUUUUGCAAAAAAUAUGAAUAACAAAUCUCUACAGCGUAAUCUUUCUUUCCUCUGUCUUGCUACACCUCGACUAAUCUAUCGGGUAGCCUAUCCAGCAGCCAAGCAUUACCAAGGUAAUCUUACUCACCGAGGUUGGAGCAAAUGACUCACACUAAGUGUUACAACUGCAAUCCAAACUAGGGAUCAUCAGGUUACUACUCUCAUGUCUCAACCACUAGGCCAUCCACUAGGGGACUCGACAGAAGCAUGCAUAUUUCCCUUUCAAGUCGGCUAGUCAAGGUACAGAUCAAACAAGGGGGAGAGUUUCCCGAUGUGAUAUUAAGACUUACAUCAAGGUCUUACAAUAAACUUCUCAUGGAUAGAUGAGAUGUUCACCAAUGUCUAUAAGUAAGAUUACUGGGAAUGUCCAAAAACACUCAGAGCCUCAAGUAAAAGAUGGGUAUGAUAUUUUCUUUUUAUAAGUGAGAUGUUUGUAAUCUUACCCUACAUAAGUUGUCUCAAUUAGGUUCUCAGGCAAGUGAUCUCAA
This 3138-nucleotide long non-coding RNA is filed under the name Nicotiana tabacum (common tobacco). RNAcentral's name for it is "long non-coding RNA (NTAB_LNC004054)". The record is from RNAcentral. Lineage: Eukaryota; Viridiplantae; Streptophyta; Magnoliopsida; Solanales; Solanaceae.